ACAGGGAUUGCCCUAGUAACGGCGAGUGAAGCGGCAACAGCUCAAAUUUGAAAUCUGGCCCUCGCGGUCCGAGUUGUAAUUUGUAGAGGAUGCUUUGGGCGCGGCGCCUUCCAAGUUCCCUAGAACGGGACGCCUUAGAGGGUGAGAGCCCCGUACGGUUGGACGCCUAGCCUAUGUAUAGCUCCUUCGACGAGUCGAGUAGUUUGGGAAUGCUGCUCUAAAUGGGAGGUAAAUUUCUUCUAAAGCUAAAUACCGGCCAGAGACCGAUAGCGCACAAGUAGAGUGAUCGAAAGAUGAAAAGUACUUUGAAAAGAGGGUUAAAUAGCACGUGAAAUUGUUGAAAGGGAAGCGUUUGCGACCAGACCUUUUCCAGGCGGAUCAUCCGGCGUUCUCGCCGGUGCACUUCGCCUGGUUUAGGCCAGCAUCGGUUUUCCCAGGGGGAUAAAGGCGGCGGGAACGUAGCUCUUUCGGGAGUGUUAUAGCCCGCCGCGUAAUACCCUUGGGGGGACCGAGGACCGCGCUUCGGCAAGGAUGCUGGCGUAAUGGUCGUCAACGACCCGUCUUGAAACACGGACCAAGGAGUCGAACAUUUGUGCGAGUGUUUGGGUGUCAAACCCUCACGCGUAAUGAAAGUGAACGGAGGUGAGAGCCCCUCGCGGGUGCAUCAUCGACCGAUCCUGAUGUCUUCGGAUGGAUUUGAGUAAGAGCAUAACUGUUCGGACCCGAAAGAUGGUGAACUAUGCGUGGAUAGGGUGAAGCCAGAGGAAACUCUGGUGGAGGCUCGCAGCGGUUCUGACGUGCAAAUCGAUCGUCAAAUCUGCGCAUGGGGGCGAAAGACUU
Molecule: ribosomal RNA, 840 nt
Filed under: Pyrenopolyporus papillatus
Lineage: Eukaryota; Fungi; Ascomycota; Sordariomycetes; Xylariales; Hypoxylaceae
Description: partial large subunit ribosomal RNA
Rfam family: Eukaryotic large subunit ribosomal RNA
Source: RNAcentral